This 433-nucleotide ribosomal RNA is filed under the name uncultured bacterium. Its description in RNAcentral is "partial 16S ribosomal RNA". It matches the Rfam family "Bacterial small subunit ribosomal RNA", at positions 29 to 507 of the family's 1533-position model. The record is from RNAcentral.
AACGAACGCUGGCGGCAUGCCUAACACAUGCAAGUCGAACGAGACCUUCGGGUCUAGUGGCGCACGGGUUCGUCACGCGUCGGAACCUGCCCUUAUGUUCGGACUAACUUCCCGAAAGGGGUGCUAAUACCGGAUAAUGUCUUCGGACCAAAGAUUUAUCGCCUUUGGAUGUGCCCGCGUUGGAUUAGCUAGUUGGUAGGGUAAAAGCCUACCAAGGUGACGAUCCAUAGCUGGUCUGAGAGGAUGAUCAGCCACACUGGGACUGAGACACGGCCCAGACUCCUACGGGAGGCAGCAGUGGGGAAUAUUGGACAAUGGGCGAAAGCCUGAUCCAGCAAUGCCGCGUGAGUGAUGAAGGCGUUAGGGUUGUAAAGCUCUUUUACCCGGGAUGAUAAUGACAGUACCGGGAGAAUAAGCUCCGGCUAACUCCGUG